Molecule: long non-coding RNA, 475 nt
Organism: Centruroides sculpturatus (bark scorpion)
Lineage: Eukaryota; Metazoa; Arthropoda; Arachnida; Scorpiones; Buthidae
Exons: 4
Source: RefSeq, a predicted model, not a curated record
GUGACCUGUCAUGGUUACACAGAAUUUCACGUUUCUCUUAUUACUCUCGAUCUGAAUUCCAUUCCGAAGUGUUCAGCCAUCGAAAUCGUUGUAUUAAUAAUUCAUAAGCUUUAAAAUAAUGGAUAUUAGUGAUAAAGAUGCGCAUAGAAUCCUGGAAUUAACAGAAAGAAGAUGAUUAAUCCAUUGCUAAAGGGACCAGAUGAUUUUGCUACUUAAGCGUUUUGGAAUUCUGAACUAAUGCAACAAUAAAAGAUAUAACUAGAAAAUACAAGUAUCUUUGCCUUAAAUGAUAUCCUGACAAACACAAUAAUAGUAAAGCAGUUAUCAAUCAAUAAAUUAAAAAAAGAAAUCAACACUUCAUAUCAAAAGCUUUAAAGCAAAACUUUGUAAUAAAGACAAAAAGUGAAAAAGUAAAAUACUGACAUAGGUAAGUGUAAUAAUUUCCUGGUUCUCUGAUAUAAAUAAAUAAAUAAUU